AACCUUAUGGACCUGCGGGCGUAUACCUGCGGAAGGAUCAUUAACCUUUCAAAAAACAGGGUGCGUCGCGGCCCCCCUCCGGGGGCGGUUUGGGGUCCUCCCCUUCACGCGCGCACGACUGCAUCCUUACUUUACGAGCACCUUCUGUUCUCCCUCGGCGGGGCAACCUGCCGUUGGAACCGAAUAAACCCUUUUUUGCAUCCAGCAUUACCCGUUCCGAAACAAACAAUCGUUACAACU
This 240-nucleotide unclassified non-coding RNA is filed under the name soil metagenome. Its description in RNAcentral is "partial contains 5.8S ribosomal RNA, internal transcribed spacer 2, and large subunit ribosomal RNA". The record is from RNAcentral.